Molecule: ribosomal RNA, 502 nt
Filed under: uncultured bacterium
Lineage: Bacteria
Description: partial 16S ribosomal RNA
Rfam family: Bacterial small subunit ribosomal RNA
Source: RNAcentral
GAUUAACGCUGGCGGCGUGCCUAACACAUGCAAGUCGAGCGGCAGCGAGUUUUACACUGAAUUCUGGAAGCUUCUAGUUGAAAGAGAAGAUUUAUUCAAGAAUUUUGUGUAAAAUGUCGGCGAGCGGCGGACGGCUGAGUAACGCGUGGGAACGUACCCCAAAGUGAGGGAUAACGCAUCGAAAGGUGUGCUAAUACCGCAUAUGGUCUUCGGAUUAAAGCCUUCGGGCGCUUUGGGAACGGCCUGCGUAAGAUUAGAUAGUUGGUGGGGUAAUGGCCUACCAAGUCGACGAUCUUUAACUGGUUUGAGAGGAUGAUCAGUCAGACUGGAACUGAGACACGGUCCAGACUCCUGCGGGAGGCAGCAGUGAGGAAUCUUCCACAAUGGGCGAAAGCCUGAUGGAGCAACGCCGCGUGCAGGAUGAAGGCCUUCGGGUUGUAAACUGCUUUUAUAAGUGAGGAUUAUGACAGUAACUUAUGAAUAAGGAUCGGCUAACCACGUG